CCUACGGGUGGCUGCAGUGAGGAAUAUUGGUCAAUGGGCGCGAGCCUGAACCAGCCAAGUCGCGUGAGGGAAGACGGUCCUAUGGAUUGUAAACCUCUUUUGUCAGGGAGCAAUUGGCGCUACGUGUAGCGUUAUCGAGAGUACCUGAAGAAAAAGCAUCGGCUAACUCCGUGCCAGCAGCCGCGGUAAUACGUAGGGGGCAAGCGUUAUCCGGAUUUACUGGGUGUAAAGGGAGCGUAGACGGCAUAGCAAGUCUGAAGUGAAAGCCCAAGGCUCAACCAUGGGACUGCUUUGGAAACUGUUAAGCUAGAGUGCUGGAGAGGUAAGCGGAAUUCCUAGUGUAGCGGUGAAAUGCGUAGAUAUUAGGAAGAACACCAGUGGCGAAGGCGGCUUACUGGACAGUAACUGACGUUGAGGCUCGAAAGCGUGGGGAGCAAACAGGAUUAGAUACCCCAGUAGUC
This 461-nucleotide ribosomal RNA is filed under the name uncultured bacterium. RNAcentral's name for it is "partial 16S ribosomal RNA". It matches the Rfam family "Bacterial small subunit ribosomal RNA", at positions 338 to 795 of the family's 1533-position model. The record is from RNAcentral.